GGUCCUCCCUUUGCAGCGCGUGCGGGGCCGUCUCGGAGAUCCCGCGUCGACGGCUGCUCAAACAUCAGGAGCACAGGCUCCAGACGCGCAGGCUCAGCGGCCAUGGCUCACAGGCCUAGGCACUCCGCGGUAUGUGGGAUCUUCCCGGACCGGGGCACGAACCCGCGUCCCGUGCAUCGACAGGCGGACUCUCAACCACUGCGCCACCAGGGAAGCCCUGUUUUGUACAGUUUUUUAAAGUUGGCCCCCAAAAGGACCCUCCCCACAUCCCCAGCUGGGGGCCCUGCGUAGAGCUGGAGUGGACGCCCCCUCCUUCCCUUCAUGAUUCGUUUGUAGCGCAGUGGCGAUGGAUGAUGAGGAUGGGAGAUGCUUACUAGACGUGAUUUGUGACCCUCAGGCCCUCAAUGACUUCUUACAUGGAUCUGAGAAGAGGUGGGCCGGCCCA
Molecule: long non-coding RNA, 445 nt
Organism: Mesoplodon densirostris (Blainville's beaked whale)
Lineage: Eukaryota; Metazoa; Chordata; Mammalia; Artiodactyla; Ziphiidae
Exons: 6
Source: RefSeq, a predicted model, not a curated record